AGGCUGUUUAAUCGUAAUAGAAAGUUCCCCAGUAAUUUGUUGACUUUUGAUGAGUUUGCUUUGUGUAUGGUGAAUAUGUUGCUGAGAGGACCCUUUGUUAUUCAUGGUGUGGGAGUCUAUAAAUAAUAGCUAUACAGGGUGUUUGUUGUCGACUUGUGAAAUCUGCUAUUUGUUCUCCACAAUCCACAUUAUCUACUCAGU
This 201-nucleotide small RNA is filed under the name Oryza sativa Japonica Group (Japanese rice). RNAcentral's name for it is "misc RNA Os02g0580800". Lineage: Eukaryota; Viridiplantae; Streptophyta; Magnoliopsida; Poales; Poaceae. The record is from RNAcentral.